This 341-nucleotide long non-coding RNA is filed under the name Elaeis guineensis (African oil palm). RNAcentral describes it as "long non-coding RNA (EGUI_LNC075526)". The record is from RNAcentral. Lineage: Eukaryota; Viridiplantae; Streptophyta; Magnoliopsida; Arecales; Arecaceae.
UUGUCAGAGAGUAGUGGAGUCGCGCAGCACCUGCCGCAGGGAGCGGAGCAGAAUCGUGGCCGUUGACACAGCCUGUCAGAGAGUAAUGGGUCCGCCGUAGGGGGUGAUGGAGCCGUGCGGAAUCCGCUACAGGAAGUGGAACAGGAUCAUGGUUGUUAUUGUGACCUGCCAGGGGGUGCGGAUCUGUUGAUUGAGGCUCGGCAGCGGUCGGAGUCCGGCCUCUGUAGAAGUCCAGGAGGGGUCCUCCUUGCGGUUGGGGUCGUGGGUGGAGUCCGACUCCCGUAGGAGUCCGACCGGAACUUACCAGCAGUUGAUACUGAGAGCGGAGCUCGGCUCCCGUA